Long non-coding RNA from Olea europaea var. sylvestris, 1181 nucleotides. RefSeq lists it as uncharacterized. The transcript is spliced from 3 exons. NCBI's taxonomy places the organism in Eukaryota, Viridiplantae, Streptophyta, Magnoliopsida, Lamiales, Oleaceae. The record is from RefSeq and is a predicted model, not a curated record.
AUUAAGAAAAUAAUGGUGAUUUACUUUCCAUCUUUGCGCCGAUCCGCCAUCUCAUGGUAUCUCAGCGCCAUCAUCGUACAAUCUGACAAAUCAGCGUCACUUGACUUAGAUCCUCCUGCAUCAAUUUCUCUAAAGAGCUAUUUGUAAGCUCAAUAUUAUGGUGAGAUUGGUAUUGGAACACCUCCCCAGAAAUUUACUGUGAUUUUUGAUAUUGGAAGUUCAAACCAUUGGGCGCCGUAGUGCUAUUUUUCUACAUCAAUUUCUCUAAAGAGCUAUUUGUAAGCUCAAUAUUAUGGUGAGAUUGGUAUUGGAACACCUCCCCAGAAAUUUACUGUGAUUUUUGAUACUGGAAGUUCAAACCAUUGGGCGCCGUAGUGCUAUUUUUCUAUAAGCCCUGGACACAUUAUUUGUCUCAUUAAAAUGAAAAUUCUAAACGUUGUAAAUAUAGUUGGGUUGAUACGAGAGAUGAGAAGUCAUCAAAAGCGGCUGGAGGUGACGAUUAACUGUCAAAAUUUUCAUUCUUUUGUCCAAUACCGUGCCCCAAAUGAGGGCUAAGUUCUUUCCAAAGCCUUCUUGCUUCUACAAUUAAAGGUUGCUUGUUUUUUCCAUUCGAAGUACAAAUCAAGCCAUUCAAAUACAUACAAAAAGAAUGGGACUCGAUAUAAUUUCGUAUUUCUUUCUUGCUCUUACUCCUAAUAUGCUGACUGUUCAUGCGAUACUAAAUUGAUCAUUGAUUGUUUAUGACUCAUUCAUUUCAAUAAAAAUGGCAGUUUUUUCUCUUACAAGUUUUGGAAACCUUUAUUACUCGUAUGACCUACAAAUCUUUUGCUUAGCUUAGUAUCAACGUAGAAAUUUCAUUGUUAAUAUCAGGGAGUACCGCAUAUUUACAGAUUCUAUUUCUUUCUUGUUUAAUGAAUCCAAGUAAUGGUUGCUGUCCUUGUGAUUGACUGCUAAUUUCUGAUUUAGUAGUAGCUUUUAGUCACAUAAUACUUUCUAGUGUAAUUUCACUGCUCCUUAGAGGCUUUCUGGAUACGUGAAAGAAGUACUGAGGAUAGAGAAUAAUUUCUAACAACUAAUGAUAUGCACGAGCUCUCAUUGCCUACUCAAAUGUGGCCCCCCUAGUAAAGCAUUGUCGUGGAGACUGUCUAUGGAAGCCAAGACUAUGUUAAACAUGUUGACCU